ACAGGGCAGCACGGUGGCGCAGAGGGUAGCACGUUUGCCUCACAGCAAGAAGGUCUCUGCUUCGAGCUUCGGCUGGGUCAGUUGGCGUUUCUGUGUGAAGUUUACAUGCUCUCCCCGUGUUGGCGUGGGUUUCCUCCGGGUGCUCCGGUUUUCCCAAGUCCAAAGACAUAGGUGAAUUGGAUUGGUGUACGCUGAUGGUCUGCUGAGAAUUCUGCUGAGUUGAAGGGAUCCUCCUGUCAGACAACCUCUCCAAAGUACAAUAGGACUAGGUUCUUACUACAAGGAUUAGUUUUGGCUACUGCAGUCCCGGUUUGGGCCAGCCUCAUUUGUGAAGACUAAAGAUGAAGACAACAUACAAGAAAAAUUUAGAGGAUGGCGACACUUUUUAUUCCACCUAAAUAUUCCCUUUUAUGUGUAAGCAACAUUCCACAAGACAAAACAAAAGUAAAUGACAGGUUAUUUCUUUUAAUUUUGUCUGUUUUCUUGGAACAUUGUACACAAUUUACAACCAGUUAUAUAUAUAUAUAUAUAUAUAUAUAUAUAUAUAGGUCAGAGCAAGAAAAUGUUGUUUUCUUCUGGAGAAAGUCUUAUUUCUUUUAUUUCGGCUAGAAUACAAACAGUUUUGAAUUUUUUAAAAAACAUUUUAAGGUCAAUAUUAUUAGCCCCUUUAAGCAAUUUUUUUCGACUGUCUACAGAACAAACCAUCGAUAUACAAUAACUUGCCUAAUUACCCUAACCUGCCUAGUUAAGCUAUAAUUAACCUAGUUAAGCCUUUAAAUGUCACUUUAAGCUGUAUAGAAGUGUCUUGAAGAAUAUCUAGUCAAAUAUUAUUUACUCAGUUAUUAUAAAUGAGUUAUUAAAACUAUUGUGAUUAGAAAUGUGUUAAAAAAUAUUUCCGUUAAACAGAAAUUAAUGGAUGUAUAUAUAUAAUGACAAAAUCUGUUUUGUGUCGUGCAUUAGAGUUUGCUUAAAAAACUGGUUAUCUCUGAGAAAGUAUUGUUAUUUUAUAUUAUUGAUGUGUUAUUAGUUCAGAGGAUAUUGCAAAUUGUUGAAUGCCAUUUAUAAAAAAAAAAAUUACUACAGACUUUAAUAAGAUUUUAUCAGACAAUUACUUUAAUUUGUAUGAUUUUAUUUACUACUGUAAAUAUUGUUUGCUUGGUAUUUAUUUUGUGUUUGUGUACUCUUUUAUUAUUGUAACUCCCUGAAGAAAGUCUUUUGGAUACUGAACACAUGACUGGUAUUAUCAUGACUGGUAUUAAAAUUAUAGCCUUGGAAACAUGCAUUUUCUUUAACACUAUUUAAGAAAUUAUAAGCAUUAUAACGUGUGCUUACACAAGUUAUUUGUGUUUUUACUAUAGUAAACUAUAGUCACCCUUAGUGUACAUGUUUUGAAGUACUUGUAAAUAUUCCUAUGGUCUUAAUGUAAAUGCUGCAAUGGACUUUGUAUUUAAAACCUUUAUUGCACAGCAGUUCAGCCAUGGUUAUAGUACAACUUGUUGGUUUUGUUUUAAACGUGGUAAAACAUGGUUAUGUGUGAUAAAAGUAUGUCAAUCUAUUUGUAUGUUUGUGAAAAUAUUAAUAAAUCUUCAACUGUUA
Non-coding RNA from Danio rerio (zebrafish), 1596 nucleotides. The record is from Ensembl. Lineage: Eukaryota; Metazoa; Chordata; Actinopteri; Cypriniformes; Danionidae.